GCUGGGCACGGUGGUUUACGCCUGUAAUCCCAGCUACUGGGGAGGCUGAGGUAGGAGAAUUCCUUGAGCCUGGGAGGCAGAGGUUGCAGUGAGCCGAGAUUGGGCCACUGCUCUCCAGUCUGGGCAAGAGAGUGAGACCCUGUCUCAAAAANNNNNNNNNNUUUUUGAGACAGGGUCUCACUCUCUUGCCCAGACUGGAGAGCAGUGGCCCAAUCUCGGCUCACUGCAACCUCUGCCUCCCAGGCUCAAGGAAUUCUCCUACCUCAG
Molecule: signal recognition particle RNA, 267 nt
Filed under: Chlorocebus sabaeus (green monkey)
Lineage: Eukaryota; Metazoa; Chordata; Mammalia; Primates; Cercopithecidae
Description: Metazoan signal recognition particle RNA
Rfam family: Metazoan signal recognition particle RNA
About the family: The signal recognition particle (SRP) is a universally conserved ribonucleoprotein. It is involved in the co-translational targeting of proteins to membranes.
Source: Rfam by way of RNAcentral